GAUGAACGCUGGCGGCGUGCCUAAUACAUGCAAGUCGAGCGAACGGACGAGAAGCUUGCUUCUCUGAUGUUAGCGGCGGACGGGUGAGUAACACGUGGAUAACCUACCUAUAAGACUGGGAUAACUUCGGGAAACCGGAGCUAAUACCGGAUGAUAUUUUGAACCGCAUGGUUCAAAAGUGAAAGACGGUCUUGCUGUCACUUAUAGAUGGAUCCGCGCUGCAUUAGCUAGUUGGUAAGGUAACGGCUUACCAAGGCAACGAUGCAUAGCCGACGUGAGAGGGUGAUCGGCCACACUGGAACUGAGACACAGUCCAGGCUCCUGAGAGAGGCAGCAGUAGGGAAUCUUCCGCAAUGGGCGAAAGCCUGGCGGAGCAACGCCACGUGAGUGAUGAAGGUCUUCGGAUCGUAAAGCUCUGUUAUUAGGGAAGAACAUAUGUGUAAGUAACUGUGCACAUCUUGACGGUACCUAAUCAGAAAGCCACGGCUAACUACGUG
Molecule: ribosomal RNA, 497 nt
Filed under: uncultured bacterium
Lineage: Bacteria
Description: partial 16S ribosomal RNA
Rfam family: Bacterial small subunit ribosomal RNA
Source: RNAcentral